UCCGGUUUGUCACCGGCAGUCCCAUUAGAGUGCCCAACUAAAUGUAGCAACUAAUGGCAAGGGUUGCGCUCGUUGCGGGACUUAACCCAACAUCUCACGACACGAGCUGACGACAGCCAUGCAGCACCUUCUCACCGGCUCCCUUGCGGGCACCCCCUCAUCUCUGCGGGGUUCCGGUGGAUUUAACCCAGGUAAGGUUCUGCGCGUUGCGUCGAAUUGAACCACAUGCUCCACCGCUUGUGCGGGCCCCCGUCAAUUCCUUUGAGUUUCAAUCUUGCGAUCGUACUUCCCAGGUGGGAUGACGUUACACAGAC
Molecule: unclassified non-coding RNA, 314 nt
Filed under: uncultured bacterium
Lineage: Bacteria
Description: contains 16S-23S intergenic spacer region
Source: RNAcentral